Molecule: ribosomal RNA, 768 nt
Filed under: Triticum aestivum (bread wheat)
Lineage: Eukaryota; Viridiplantae; Streptophyta; Magnoliopsida; Poales; Poaceae
Description: partial small subunit ribosomal RNA
Source: RNAcentral
AUGUUUCCCCCUGGCCUGAUCCACCACCGCACGGACGGCCCCGGGCCCGGCGAGGUGCCGCGCUCCGGCGGCGCGCCCAGCCUCGUGCUCACGGCGGACCCCAAGCCCCGACUCCGGUGGACGGCCGACCUCCACGAGCGCUUCGUCGACGCCGUCGCCCAGCUCGGCGGGCCCGAGAAAGCAACACCAAAAACUAUCUUAAGGACAAUGGGUGUAAAGGGACUAACGCUUUUCCACUUGAAGAGUCAUCUUCAGAAAUACAGAAUGGGGAAACAAACUGGGAAGGAGACGCCGGAGCAAUCUAAAGAUGGGUCUUAUCUUCUUGAUGCUCAAGGUGGAAUGAGCCUGUCUCCCAGAGUUUCUACUCAAGAUGCGAAAGAAAGUCAAGAAGUUAAAGAAGCCCUGAGAGCACAGAUGGAGAUGCAACGAAGCCUGCAUGAACAAGUGGAGGUUCAGAAGCAUGUGGACAUCAGGAUGGACGCGUACACGACGUACAUCAACACCCUGCUGGAGAAGGCCUGCAAGAUCGUCUCGGAGCAGUUCGCGUCGAGCGGCUUCAGCGUCUCCGACCAGAGUCUCCCGGAGCUGUCCUCCGGCGGCGUCAUGUGCGGCACCGCCACCGACGCGCUGAGCUCCUCCGUGUUCCACCAGCUCUCCGUCAGCUCGAUCAACAUGCACAGCCCGGGGGGCAAGCCUUCUCCGUCGGGCAUGGAAGGCCAGCUGCUUCUCCAGAGGUCACCCGAGUUCAAACGCAAGUCAUCCUGCUGA